This 520-nucleotide ribosomal RNA is filed under the name bacterium enrichment culture clone Cont103_3131. Its description in RNAcentral is "partial 16S ribosomal RNA". It matches the Rfam family "Bacterial small subunit ribosomal RNA", at positions 8 to 525 of the family's 1533-position model. The record is from RNAcentral.
AGAGUUUGAUCCUGGCUCAGAUUGAACGCUGGCGGCAUGCCUUACACAUGCAAGUCGAACGGUAACAGGUCUUCGGACGCUGACGAGUGGCGAACGGGUGAGUAAUACAUCGGAACGUGCCCGAUCGUGGGGGAUAACGAAGCGAAAGCUUUGCUAAUACCGCAUACGAUCUACGGAUGAAAGCAGGGGRYCGCAAGRCCUCGCGCKAWYGGAGCGGCCGAUGKCAGAUUAGGUWGUUGGUGGGAUAAAGGCCUACCAAGCCGACGAUCUGUAGCUGGUCUGAGAGGACGACCAGCCACACUGGGACUGAGACACGGCCCAGACUCCUACGGGAGGCAGCAGUGGGGAAUYUUGCGCAAUGGGCGAAAGCCUGACGCAGCGACGCCGCGUGRGUGAUGAAGGCCUUCGGGUUGUAAAGCUCUGUGGAGGGGGAMGAAUAAGGGYWGSCCAAYACSCURACUCGAUGRCGGUACCCCUUUAGCAAGCACCGGCUAACUCUGUGCCAGCAGCCGCGGUAAUA